RNAcentral lists this unclassified non-coding RNA (220 nucleotides) under plant metagenome. RNAcentral's name for it is "partial contains small subunit ribosomal RNA, internal transcribed spacer 1, and 5.8S ribosomal RNA". The record is from RNAcentral.
UUUCCGUAGGUGAACCUGCGGAAGGAUCAUUACAGAGAACAUCGCCCUUACGGGUGACUCUCCAACCCUAUGUUAUUAUACCUUUGUUGCUUUGGCGAGCCGCCUCGGCCACCGGCUUACGCUGGUGAGUGCCUGCCAGAGAACCCCAAACUCUGAGUUUAAAUAUCGUCUGAGUACUAUAUAAUAGUUAAAACUUUCAACAACGGAUCUCUUGGUUCUG